UACGUAGGCAGCGAGCGUUGUUCGGAAUUACUGGGCGUAAAGCGCGCGCAGGCGGCGAUCUACGUCUGGGGUGAAAGCCCGGAGCUCAACUCCGGGACUGCCUUGGAUACGGGAUCGCUUGAGGAUUGGAGAGGCAAGGGGAAUUCCACGUGUAGCGGUGAAAUGCGUAGAUAUGUGGAGGAACACCUGUGGCGAAGGCGCCUUGCUGGCCAAUUUCUGACGCUGAGGCGCGAAAGCGUGGGGAGCAAACAGG
Molecule: ribosomal RNA, 253 nt
Filed under: uncultured bacterium
Lineage: Bacteria
Description: partial 16S ribosomal RNA
Rfam family: Bacterial small subunit ribosomal RNA
Source: RNAcentral